This 497-nucleotide ribosomal RNA is filed under the name uncultured bacterium. RNAcentral's name for it is "partial 16S ribosomal RNA". It matches the Rfam family "Bacterial small subunit ribosomal RNA", at positions 28 to 507 of the family's 1533-position model. The record is from RNAcentral.
GAUGAACGCUGGCGGCGUGCCUAAUACAUGCAAGUCGAGCGAACAGACGAUGAGCUUUCUCCCCUGACGUUAGCGGCUGACGGGUGAGUAACACGUGGAUAAGCUUCUACUUUUACUUGGAUAAUUUCGUGAAACCGCUUCUAAUACUAGAGCAUAUGUCCUACCGCUUGAUGCAAUAGUUCUUCACACUUUGCCUGUUUCUUUUAGCUGGUUCCGCGCCGCAUUAGCUAGUUGGUAAGGUAACGGCUUACCAACGCGACGAUGCGUAGCUGACCUGAGAGGGUGAUCAGCCACACUGGAACUGAGACACGGUCCAGACUCCUACGGGAGGCAGCAGUAGGGAAUAUUGGGCAAUGGGCGCAAGCCUGAUGGAGCCAUGCCGCGUGAGUGAAGAAGGUCUUCGGAUUGUAAAGCUCUGUUAUUAGGGAAGAAAAACAGUAUAAGAAAAUCUGGCCGUCUUGACGGUACCCAAAGAAUAAGCACCGGCUAACUACGUG